CAUGGAGAAAGCUGACUUGGCUGGUGUGGUGCAGAGAAGCCAGCUUGUUUAUGUGCUUAUUCCAUG
This is a regulatory RNA element of Pan troglodytes (chimpanzee), 66 nucleotides long. It matches the Rfam family "MAT2A 3'UTR stem loop F". The record is from Rfam. NCBI's taxonomy places the organism in Eukaryota, Metazoa, Chordata, Mammalia, Primates, Hominidae.